RNAcentral lists this long non-coding RNA (495 nucleotides) under Spirodela polyrhiza (greater duckweed). Its description in RNAcentral is "long non-coding RNA (SPOL_LNC000578)". Lineage: Eukaryota; Viridiplantae; Streptophyta; Magnoliopsida; Alismatales; Araceae. The record is from RNAcentral.
GGGGAAAAAAAGAGAGGAGCCCCACUGGAGUGAGCGUCUUUUGUCUGUCUUACGAGUCGCACAGGACCACCACCCCCCCCCGAGAAGGGAAUCCGAUGUCGGGGCCAAUAUACUGCUGAUAAUGGUGGCCUUGAAGAAUCAACACAGACGUUUGAAGAAAGAUGAUCGGAGGAAUCUGUCCUCUCGAAGCAUCUUGUGCCGGUUCUCUUUUGGAUGAUGCUCGCCUUCGUUCUCUUCUGUUUCGGUUUACGCUUUGAUUACUGGUUUGGGAUCUGAUCGAUCACGUCGGGCGAUCAUUUCAGAGAUCUAGAAUCUCUUCUGACAAAAAUAAAUGCCGCAAAUGAUGCGAAAAAUCCUCAGAAAGACGCCCUUACCUGCUCGUUGAGUGAUCCGACCAGCGAGCGGUUGUCCUUCUUCUUGUGCUUGUUCUUCUCCUUCUCCUUCCCCUUCUCCUAUCAGCCGUCGUCGGCGGUGACGAUCCUCCGGACAGACGGC